AACUCUAAGCGGUGGAUCACUCGGCUCAUGGGUCGAUGAAGAACGCAGCAAACUGUGCGUCAUCGUGUGAACUGCAGGACACAUGAACAUCGACAUUUUGAACGCAUAUCGCAGUCCAUGCUUGUUAUGUACUUUAAUUAAUUUUGAAGUGCUGCUUUGGACUACAUAUGGUUGAGGGUUG
Non-coding RNA from Drosophila ananassae, 181 nucleotides. Lineage: Eukaryota; Metazoa; Arthropoda; Insecta; Diptera; Drosophilidae. The record is from Rfam.